This 491-nucleotide ribosomal RNA is filed under the name uncultured bacterium. Its description in RNAcentral is "bacterial SSU rRNA". It matches the Rfam family "Bacterial small subunit ribosomal RNA", at positions 28 to 507 of the family's 1533-position model. The record is from RNAcentral.
GAUGAACGCUAGCGAUAGGCCUAACACAUGCAAGUCGAGGGGCAUCACAUGAAGUAGCAAUACGGAUGGUGGCGACCGGCGCACGGGUGAGUAACACGUAUGCAACCUGCCUUCAACAAGGGGAUAACCCGUUGAAAGACGGACUAAUACCCUAUAACACAGGGGUCCCGCAUGGGAAUAUUUGUUAAAGGACAACCGGUUGAAGAUGGGCAUGCGUUCCAUUAGCUGGUUGGUGGGGUAACGGCCCACCAAGGCAACGAUGGAUAGGGGAACUGAGAGGUUUAUCCCCCACACUGGUACUGAGACACGGACCAGACUCCUACGGGAGGCAGCAGUGAGGAAUAUUGGUCAAUGGACGCAAGUCUGAACCAGCCACGUCGCGUGAAGGAAGACGGCCCUACGGGUUGUAAACUUCUUUUAUACGGGGAAUAAAGUGCCCCACGCGUGGGGUUUUGCAUGUACCGUAUGAAUAAGGAUCGGCUAACUCCGUG